GAGUGAGACACAGAGGGAGUUGCUGGCAAAUGCCACUGCUUCCUGAGGGCAUAAUGGUAAGAGACAGCUGCUACUGCCAGCCCAGGAGCGUGAGCUGGUGGGAGCCGCUUUGCUCCACCGAAAAGCUUUCAGUCUGAUUGAGAUCCUUACUACUUUGGGAGAAAUCAAGCUCUUUGGCUGUAGUUCUUGUUGUUUCGUAUGGCUCCCUGCAUGAAGCUGAGUCUACACUGAAAGCAUAAGAUGACUCUGAGAUUUACUGAUGAAUUUUUGAUUUCUGGAAGAGGUGCUUGUGACAUGUUUCUCGGAUGUCAAAACAACUCAGGCAGCCUUGGACAGUAUGCACCUUGUGUUGGUGUCAGUGAAGGUGCCAUUUGGUCUUCACCCUCAGGCGUCAAAAUAUCUUGGACUGACCCUGAUAUUCCACCUGUUAAUAAUGAGAGGUAUCUUCCCCUUUGUUUCUUCUCAUGAUAUUUGUAAUAAUGUGGUUUGUUGAACAGAACAGAAAUGUCUUAUGGCUACUCAGACCCCACCAUUCUCCAUAUGUAUCUACCCUCAUCAUCAUGAUGCUGGUUUGGUGCCUAUUUUUUUUCUGUUUGAUUAAAAUACACUGCACAUGUAACUGCUUCUGGUUGAAUUCAAAUUUUCAUUUUGUGCUGUAUGGGGGGUAAAAAUAUAGUGUGUCUCCUCAAAUGUUAAAGUAACACAUGGCUGUUUUAUGUUUAAAAACUUGGCAACAUCACAUUUUCCGCAUAAAAUCAGACUUCAUUCAGAAACAGUUUGAACUGAUGCCUUUGCUUUUAUUAUUUCAGGCUGUAGGUUGAGCUGGGGGGGUAUCACUGCUACUGAAUCAAAAACACAAUGAAGUGUUCAGUUUGUGUAUUUUUCCCAUUGAUUCCUAUGCAAAAUUAUCACAUCUUGCAAACAGCAAAAAUCUGACAUUAAAAGUCCUAGCUCUAGAUGCCUGUCAGUCUAGUCACUGUUAAGUCUGUAAUUUUGUUUUGUCUAGGUGAGUGGUUAAUCACUAAUCACAUACUGAACAGUGGACACUAUGAUGUCAUUUUUAUAUCUGGGAAAGAGUGUUACACAGAUUGAUCUACAACAAAUAUUAUUUAAUAGAAUUCUACAGAAGAGGGGAUCUGUUUUUAAAGAAACAUAAAACUUCAAAGGCCCUGCAAUGCCCUGGACUCUCAGGAAGUGGAGAUGACCCUAACUUCUCCUCCUAACUUCUGUACCAAACUGAAAGUGUUCCUUUCUAUUCCUUCCAGAAUGCUUGGCAGCACUGAGGUCUACAAGCAGAAGAAUGCCAUAGAAGUGUGCAAACUCAUAAUGCUGUGUUCUCUCCUCAGAUAUGGCUAUGUGUUGAGAAUUUUAAGGGCAAUAGAACCCCAUUACUCUUAGGGUGAUGCUGCCUGCACAAGUUACCUGGAUCUAAGGCAGCUAAAGAUCACCCUUAGAGUUGAGCAGUUCC
This 1468-nucleotide long non-coding RNA is filed under the name Pogona vitticeps (central bearded dragon). RNAcentral's name for it is "lncRNA (ENSPVIG00000015810.1)". The record is from RNAcentral. Lineage: Eukaryota; Metazoa; Chordata; Lepidosauria; Squamata; Agamidae.